AAGAUUUUGAACGUUUUGGAGUUUAAUAGUACAAGAAAAAGGAUGUCUGUCAUUGUAAAGGAUGAGGACGGAAAGAUCUUGUUACUCUCCAAAGGUGCUGACAGUAUCAUGUUUGAAAGACUCAGCAAGAGUGGUAGAAGGUUUGAACAAGAAACAAGGGAUCAUGUGAAUGAGUAUGCUGAUGCGGGUUUGAGGACCUUGAUACUGGCUUAUCG
This 215-nucleotide unclassified non-coding RNA is filed under the name Hevea brasiliensis (rubber tree). The record is from RNAcentral. Lineage: Eukaryota; Viridiplantae; Streptophyta; Magnoliopsida; Malpighiales; Euphorbiaceae.